GAUGAACGCUGGCGGCGUGCCUAAUACGUGCAAGUCGAGCGAACAGAUGAGGAGCUUGCUCCUCUGACGUUAGCGGCGGACGGGUGAGUAACACGUGGAUAACCUACCUAUAAGACUGGGAUAACUUCGGGAAACCGGAGCUAAUACCGGAUAAUAUAUUGAACCGCAUGGUUCAAUAGUGAAAGACGGUUUUGCUGUCACUUAUAGAUGGAUCCGCGCCGCAUUAGCUAGUUGGUAAGGUAACGGCUUACCAAGGCAACGAUGCGUAGCCGACCUGAGAGGGUGAUCAGCCACACUGGAACUGAGACACGGUCCAGACUCCUACGGGAGGCAGCAGUAGGGAAUCUUCCGCAAUGGGCGAAAGCCUGACGGAGCAACGCCGCGUGAGUGAUGAAGGUCUUCGGAUCGUAAAACUCUGUUAUUAGGGAAGAACAAAUGUGUAAGUAACUAUGCACGUCUUGACGGUACCUAAUCAGAAAGCCACGGCUAACUACGUG
RNAcentral lists this ribosomal RNA (497 nucleotides) under uncultured bacterium. RNAcentral's name for it is "partial 16S ribosomal RNA". It matches the Rfam family "Bacterial small subunit ribosomal RNA", at positions 28 to 507 of the family's 1533-position model. The record is from RNAcentral.